Molecule: non-coding RNA, 96 nt
Filed under: Heterosigma akashiwo
Lineage: Eukaryota; Raphidophyceae; Chattonellales; Chattonellaceae
Source: RNAcentral
AAAAUAAACACCCCAAAAUGUAUUAUUUUUUUAUUUUUUUUUAUUGAACACAUCUUCCAACUUUUUAUUUUUUUUUUAUUUUUUUUUUUAUUUACA